ACGAUUUUUGGGUAGUUGCCUGAGUCUGCCUCGCUUUCGGGCAAAACCACAGGCUAUUCUUGAUGAUGAUAAUGAUGUUGACGGCUAUGAUAAACAGUUUCAGCAGGAAACCACGGAAAGGAAGGCAGUAGAUCAUCGUCAGCAAAGACAGUCCUGAUUGGUCUUGUGGUAGCUCUUGUUGUUGUGAUGAUCCUGCUUGCUGUGCUUACAGUCCUAACAUGGAAAAGGGUGCAUCGAGAGAUCUCUUGUUGGUGAGAAUCGUCUAAUCAUUCCUAACAGUGGCUAUACAGCCUCUUCGUUCUUAUAUGACAGUAGGCAGUUUAAAGAUCGAGUGACCGGAAAACUAUACUGGAUCGACACCCGAUACGUUCCACACAAUGCAAGACUGAACAGCAAAUUUGGAUGGUCACCACGUGAUAAUAAUAACCCUGAUUACUUACAGCUGGACCUUGGUGCUGUACGAGCCAUCACUGCUGUAGCAACAAAAGGAAGUGGUUUCUUAUCAUAUGAAUGGAUAAAAACAUUUAAGCUUCGGUUUCAACACGACGCAAAUUCAACGCAAUGGACUGAAUACAA
Long non-coding RNA from Exaiptasia diaphana, 576 nucleotides. RefSeq lists it as uncharacterized. The transcript is spliced from 3 exons. Lineage: Eukaryota; Metazoa; Cnidaria; Anthozoa; Actiniaria; Aiptasiidae. The record is from RefSeq and is a predicted model, not a curated record.